Mytilus californianus (California mussel) is the source of this 440-nucleotide long non-coding RNA. RefSeq lists it as uncharacterized. NCBI's taxonomy places the organism in Eukaryota, Metazoa, Mollusca, Bivalvia, Mytilida, Mytilidae. The record is from RefSeq and is a predicted model, not a curated record. The transcript has 4 exons.
AUCUAAAUCUCUUAUACUGAUCUCCUGGUGAUAUUUUAUAAAGAUACUGAGUAGAUAGUGACAGACAUGAGGAAAAGUGUUUUAUUAGUUUUGUUUGUUGUUCUUCUACUAUGCAUUCAAGUUUCAUCUCACCCACAUUUGAAAGAAAUGAAAAGAUGCAGUAAACCAAUGUGUUCUAGGAGACGAAAGAAUCAAUGUGGUUGCAAUGGAUGUUGCUGGGCCACAGGUUGUAAAAGAGGACGAUGUAGAGGGAAGAAAUGCAUGUGUUCUAAAUGUCCAAAAGUGCCUCCCACCACAACUACAACUACAAUGAUGUCAUCGACAACGUCAAGUGCUGACGCAGACGAGACGACUACGAUGUACCCAUGAUGUAUGAUGGAUAAUGUGUCCUUGUUUAAAAUAUCGCAAACUAUAUUACCAAUAAAAUAGUUUUUGCUGUU